GGGCCCGCACAAGCAGCGGAGCAUGUGGUUUAAUUCGAAGCAACGCGAAGAACCUUACCAAGACUUGACAUCCCACUAACGAAGUAGAAAUACAUUAGGUGCCCUUCGGGGAAAGUGGAGACAGGUGGUGCAUGGUUGUCGUCAGCUCGUGUCGUGAGAUGUUGGGUUAAGUCCCGCAACGAGCGCAACCCUUGUUGAUAGUUACCAGUAUUAAGUUAGGGACUCUAUCGAGACUGCCGUGGACAACACGGAGGAAGGUGGGGACGACGUCAAAUCAUCAUGCCCCUUAUGUCUUGGGCUACACACGUGCUACAAUGGUGGCCACAGAGGGCAGCGAAGCCGUGAGGCAGAGCGAAUCUCAGAAAAGCCAUCUCAGUUCGGAUUGUGGGCUGCAACCCGCCCACAUGAAGUUGGAGUUGCUAGUAAUCGCGAAUCAGCAUGUCGCGGUGAAUGCGUUCCCGGGCCUU
Molecule: ribosomal RNA, 467 nt
Filed under: uncultured bacterium
Lineage: Bacteria
Description: bacterial SSU rRNA
Rfam family: Bacterial small subunit ribosomal RNA
Source: RNAcentral